Molecule: long non-coding RNA, 476 nt
Filed under: Homo sapiens (human)
Lineage: Eukaryota; Metazoa; Chordata; Mammalia; Primates; Hominidae
Description: HSALNT0300755
Source: RNAcentral
UACAGGUGUGAGCCACUGCACCCAGCAAACUCUCCUGUUAUUCUAAUCAUGUACAGGUAGUUCCUUUUGGUUUUGUAAGUAAAAAAGCAUUAUCAUCUGCAAGUAUUGACAGCUUUUUAUCAACUUAAAAAGUUUUUAUGCACCUUUUUAUUUUUUCUGGUUUUAUUGCCCUAGCAAAACUCUUCAAUACAUUGUUGCCUAAAUGUGGCAAUAGAAUAAUUUUUUUUUUCCAUUUCUAACUUGGAAGAGGAUUCUUCCAACAAUUUUUCAUUUAGGGAAUGCACCACACUCUCGAUGUGCGUACAGAGAAGAUGGCUGGCUGGCUGGAUCCAGGGUUUUAAUGUUUCCAGAGCCCUGCCUGGAACCAGUUGGCUUAUCUAGAAAGCAUCUGAGUCUCAUUCUCAUCUUCAUCUCCUCCCCAUCCACCUUCUCUUUCCACCCCAUAACAAUAUGGGGGAUGCGAGGAUGAAUGGAAC